RNAcentral lists this ribosomal RNA (459 nucleotides) under uncultured Lactobacillales bacterium. RNAcentral describes it as "bacterial SSU rRNA". It matches the Rfam family "Bacterial small subunit ribosomal RNA", at positions 460 to 917 of the family's 1533-position model. The record is from RNAcentral. Lineage: Bacteria; Bacillati; Bacillota; Bacilli; Lactobacillales.
GCUCAUCCCCUGACGGUAUUUAACCAGAAAGCCACGGCUAACUACGUGCCAGCAGCCGCGGUAAUACGUAGGUGGCAAGCGUUGUCCGGAUUUAUUGGGCGUAAAGCGAGCGCAGGCGGUUCUUUAAGUCUGAUGUGAAAGCCCCCGGCUCAACCGGGGAGGGUCAUUGGAAACUGGAGAACUUGAGUGCAGAAGAGGAGAGUGGAAUUCCACGUGUAGCGGUGAAAUGCGUAGAUAUGUGGAGGAACACCAGUGGCGAAGGCGACUCUCUGGUCUGUAACUGACGCUGAGGCUCGAAAGCGUGGGGAGCAAACAGGAUUAGAUACCCUGGUAGUCCACGCCGUAAACGAUGAGUGCUAAGUGUUGGAGGGUUUCCGCCCUUCAGUGCUGCAGCUAACGCAUUAAGCACUCCGCCUGGGGAGUACGGCCGCAAGGCUGAAACUCAAAGGAAUUGACGGA